GUGAGGGAAAGGCGAAAAGAACCCCGGCGAGGGGAGUGAAAAAGAACCUGAAACCGUGUACGUACAAGCAGUGGGAGCCCCACCACCAAAGCAUUCUCUGGUGUUGAAGGCCCUGCAAAGCAGCAUCGCGGUGGCGGAGCGUCGUUUGCGACGCCCAACACACAAAACAAGCGGUGAAUGCUUUGGGGUGGGGUGACUGCGUACCUUUUGUAUAAUGGGUCAGCGACUUAUAUUCUGUAGCAAGGUUAACCGAAUAGGGGAGCCGGAGGGAAACCGAGUCUUAAUUGGGCGUUAAGUUGCAGGGUAUAGACCCGAAACCCGGUGAUCUAGCCAUGGGCAGGUUGAAGGUUGGGUAACACUAACUGGAGGACCGAACCGACUAAUGUUGAAAAAUUAGCGGAUGACCUGUGGCUGGGGGUGAAAGGCCAAUCAAACCGGGAGAUAGCUGGUUCUCCCCGAAAGCUAUUUAGGUAGCGCCUCGUGAAUUCAUCUCCGGGGGUAGAGCACUGUUUCGGCUAGGGGGCCAUCCCGGCUUACCAACCCGAUGCAAACUGCGAAUACCGGAGAAUGUUAUCACGGGAGACACACGGCGGGUGCUAACGUCCGUCGUGAAGAGGGAAACAACCCAGACCGCCAGCUAAGGUCCCAAAGUCAUGGUUAAGUGGGAAACGAUGUGGGAAGGCCCAGACAGCCAGGAUGUUGGCUUAGAAGCAGCCAUCAUUUAAAGAAAGCGUAAUAGCUCACUGGUCGAGUCGGCCUGCGCGGAAGAUGUAACGGGGCUAAACCAUGCACCGAAGCUGCGGCAGCGAACGUAUCACCCAAGACAACUUUACGGAGUUGACGAUUGACGGAGCGAAGCGACGUCAAAGCGUUCAUUAAAGUCGAGUUGGCUUAGGGAUACGUUCGUUGGGUAGGGGAGCGUUCUGUAAGCCUGUGAAGGUGUGUCGUGAGGCAUGCUGGAGGUAUCAGAAGUGCGAAUGCUGACAUAAGUAACGAUAAAGCGGGUGAAAAGCCCGCUCGCCGGAAGACCAAGGGUUCCUGUCCAACGUUAAUCGGGGCAGGGUGAGUCGACCCCUAAGGCGAGGCCGAAAGGCGUAGUCGAUGGGAAACGGGUUAAUAUUCCCGUACUUGGUGUUACUGCGAAGGGGGGACGGAGAAGGCUAUGUUGGCCGGGCGACGGUUGUCCCGGUUUAAGCGUGUAGGUGUGUGUUCCAGGUAAAUCCGGUUCACUUUAACACUGAGGCGUGACGACGAGGCACUACGGUGCUGAAGCAACAAAUGCCCUGCUUCCAGGAAAAGCCUCUAAGCAUCAGGUAACAUCAAAUCGUACCCCAAACCGACACAGGUGGUCAGGUAGAGAAUACCAAGGCGCUUGAGAGAACUCGGGUGAAGGAACUAGGCAAAAUGGUGCCGUAACUUCGGGAGAAGGCACGCUGACACGUAGGUGAAGUGAUUUACUCAUGGAGCUGAAGUCAGUCGAAGAUACCAGCUGGCUGCAACUGUUUAUUAAAAACACAGCACUGUGCAAACACGAAAGUGGACGUAUACGGUGUGACGCCUGCCCGGUGCCGGAAGGUUAAUUGAUGGGGUCAGCGCAAGCGAAGCUCCUGAUCGAAGCCCCGGUAAACGGCGGCCGUAACUAUAACGGUCCUAAGGUAGCGAAAUUCCUUGUCGGGUAAGUUCCGACCUGCACGAAUGGCGUAAUGAUGGCCAGGCUGUCUCCACCCGAGACUCAGUGAAAUUGAACUCGCUGUGAAGAUGCAGUGUACCCGCGGCAAGACGGAAAGACCCCGUGAACCUUUACUAUAGCUUGACACUGAACAUUGAGCCUUGAUGUGUAGGAUAGGUGGGAGGCUUUGAAGUGUGGACGCCAGUCUGCAUGGAGCCGACCUUGAAAUACCACCCUUUAAUGUUUGAUGUUCUAACGUGGACCCGUAAUCCGGGUUGCGGACAGUGUCUGGUGGGUAGUUUGACUGGGGCGGUCUCCUCCUAAAGAGUAACGGAGGAGCACGAAGGUUGGCUAAUCCUGGUCGGACAUCAGGAGGUUAGUGCAAUGGCAUAAGCCAGCUUGACUGCGAGCGUGACGGCGCGAGCAGGUGCGAAAGCAGGUCAUAGUGAUCCGGUGGUUCUGAAUGGAAGGGCCAUCGCUCAACGGAUAAAAGGUACUCCGGGGAUAACAGGCUGAUACCGCCCAAGAGUUCAUAUCGACGGCGGUGUUUGGCACCUCGAUGUCGGCUCAUCACAUCCUGGGGCUGAAGUAGGUCCCAAGGGUAUGGCUGUUCGCCAUUUAAAGUGGUACGCGAGCUGGGUUUAGAACGUCGUGAGACAGUUCGGUCCCUAUCUGCCGUGGGCGCUGGAGAACUGAGGGGGGCUGCUCCUAGUACGAGAGGACCGGAGUGGACGCAUCACUGGUGUUCGGGUUGUCAUGCCAAUGGCACUGCCCGGUAGCUAAAUGCGGAAGAGAUAAGUGCUGAAAGCAUCUAAGCACGAAACUUGCCCCGAGAUGAGUUCUCCCUGAGACUUAGAGUCUCCUGAAGGAACGUUGAAGACGACGACGUUGAUAGGCCGGGUGUGUAAGCGCAGCGAUGCGUUGAGCUAACCGGUACUAAUGAACCGUGAGGCUUAACC
Molecule: ribosomal RNA, 2628 nt
Filed under: Salmonella enterica subsp. enterica serovar Typhimurium
Lineage: Bacteria; Pseudomonadati; Pseudomonadota; Gammaproteobacteria; Enterobacterales; Enterobacteriaceae
Description: bacterial LSU rRNA
Rfam family: Bacterial large subunit ribosomal RNA
Source: RNAcentral